This 568-nucleotide long non-coding RNA is filed under the name Homo sapiens (human). RNAcentral's name for it is "HSALNT0034963". The record is from RNAcentral. Lineage: Eukaryota; Metazoa; Chordata; Mammalia; Primates; Hominidae.
CUGUGUCUGGCCAGUGUGGUUCUGGAGCUUUGGGGUAACAGCAGGAUCCAUCAGUUAGUAGGGUGCAUGUCAGACGAUCAUACCCAAUUCAUAUGGAAGUCCCGGGUCUGUCUUCCUUAUCAUCGGGGUGGCAUCUGGUUCUCGAUGUGCCAGCAUCAAGGCACCUUCAGGGAGCUCGGUACCCGAGCCUCAAUCAAGCCUUAUCCUCCAAAUAUGCAGGGAAAGGUGACACAGGGCAGGGAAGGGUGACGUCAGGAGUCAGGGCAUCGACUGGUAAGAUUACUUCAUUGUGUUGAGGCAGGCUGCAGGGCAUUCCACACAAUGGCACAGCAGAGGACAGCACAGGGAGGCAACAGAGUGUUCCCAGCAAUGGCCCAGCUACUGAAAGCAGGCAGCCAGGCUGGGAGGAGUCAGGCUCAAAAGGCAUAAAAAGGACCUUUCACUUAUGUUAAACUGACAUGCCAAAGUGGGCGGAUCACGAAGAAGAGAUUGAGACCAUCCUGGCCAACAUGGUGAAACCCCGUCUCCACUAAAAAUGCAAAAAUUAGCUGGGCGUGGUGGCACGCAC